RNAcentral lists this ribosomal RNA (222 nucleotides) under Clostridium botulinum. RNAcentral's name for it is "partial 16S ribosomal RNA". It matches the Rfam family "Bacterial small subunit ribosomal RNA", at positions 86 to 308 of the family's 1533-position model. Lineage: Bacteria; Bacillati; Bacillota; Clostridia; Eubacteriales; Clostridiaceae. The record is from RNAcentral.
AGUGGAUUAGCGGCGGACGGGUGAGUAACACGUGGGUAACCUGCCUCAAAGUGGGGGAUAGCCUUCCGAAAGGAAGAUUAAUACCGCAUAAUAUAAGAGAAUCGCAUGAUUUUCUUAUCAAAGAUUUAUUGCUUUGAGAUGGACCCGCGGCGCAUUAGCUAGUUGGUAAGGUAACGGCUUACCAAGGCAACGAUGCGUAGCCGACCUGAGAGGGUGAUCGGC